This 475-nucleotide ribosomal RNA is filed under the name uncultured organism. RNAcentral's name for it is "partial 16S ribosomal RNA". It matches the Rfam family "Bacterial small subunit ribosomal RNA", at positions 334 to 800 of the family's 1533-position model. The record is from RNAcentral.
CACUCCUACGGGAGGCAGCAGUGGGGAAUUUUGGACAAUGGGCGAAAGCCUGAUCCAGCAAUGCCGCGUGAGUGAAGAAGGCCUUCGGGUUGUAGAGCUCUUUUGUCAGGGAAGAAACGGUGAGAGCUAAUAUCUUUUGCUAAUGACGGUACCUGAAGAAUAAGCACCGGCUAACUACGUGCCAGCAGCCGCGGUAAUACGUAGGGUGCAAGCGUUAAUCGGAAUUACUGGGCGUAAAGCGUGCGCAGGCGGUUUUGUAAGUCAGAUGUGAAAUCCCCGGGCUCAACCUGGGAAUUGCAUUGGGGACUAAAAGGCUAGAAUCUGGCAGAGGGGGGUAGAAUUCCACGUGUAGCAGUGAAAUGCGUAGAUAUGUGGAGGAACACCGAUGGCGAAGGCAGCCCCCUGGGUCAAGAUUGACGCUCAUGCACGAAAGCGUGGGGAGCAAACAGGAUUAGAUACCCCGGUAGUCCCAUGA